Molecule: ribosomal RNA, 501 nt
Filed under: uncultured bacterium
Lineage: Bacteria
Description: partial 16S ribosomal RNA
Rfam family: Bacterial small subunit ribosomal RNA
Source: RNAcentral
AUUGAACGCUGGCGGCAGGCUUAACACAUGCAAGUCGAGCGGGGGAAGGUAGCUUGCUACCGGACCUAGCGGCGGACGGGUGAGUAAUGCUUAGGAAUCUGCCUAUUAGUGGGGGACAACAUCUCGAAAGGGAUGCUAAUACCGCGUACGUCCUACGGGAGAAAGCAGGGGAUCUUCGGACCUUGCGCUAAUAGAUGAGCCUAAGUCGGAUUAGCUAGUUGGUGGGGUAAAGGCCUACCAAGGCGACGAUCUGUAGCGGGUCUGAGAGGAUGAUCCGCCACACUGGGACUGAGACACGGCCCAGACUCCUACGGGAGGUAGCAGUGGGGAAUAUUGGACAAUGGGGGGAACCCUGAUCCAGCCAUGCCGCGUGUGUGAAGAAGGCCUUAUGGUUGUAAAGCACUUUAAGCGAGGAGGAGGCUACUCUAGUUAAUACCUAGGGAUAGUGGACGUUACUCGCAGAAUAAGCACCGGCUAACUCUGUGCCAGCCGCCGCCGUAA